GCGUAAUAGCUCACUGGUCGAGUCGGCCUGCGCGGAAGAUGUAACGGGGCUAAACCAUGCACCGAAGCUGCGGCAGCGACACUAUGUGUUGUUGGGUAGGGGAGCGUUCUGUAAGCCUGUGAAGGUGUGCUGUGAGGCAUGCUGGAGGUAUCAGAAGUGCGAAUGCUGACAUAAGUAACGAUAAAGCGGGUGAAAAGCCCGCUCGCCGGAAGACCAAGGGUUCCUGUCCAACGUUAAUCGGGGCAGGGUGAGUCGACCCCUAAGGC
This 266-nucleotide ribosomal RNA is filed under the name Escherichia coli. RNAcentral's name for it is "partial 23S ribosomal RNA". It matches the Rfam family "Bacterial large subunit ribosomal RNA", at positions 1132 to 1397 of the family's 2925-position model. RNAcentral also lists the same sequence under 1 other name. Lineage: Bacteria; Pseudomonadati; Pseudomonadota; Gammaproteobacteria; Enterobacterales; Enterobacteriaceae. The record is from RNAcentral.